UUUGAUGCUUUUCAUUAAAGGGCCCAUAUCAUGCAAAAUCCACUUUUUAGACAUUUUGGAGCGUCCCUAUGACUCUAUGGGUCACAUAUACACACACUGAGCACGGUAGAAAUGCAUUUCCUGCUUUUUUCACAUUUUGAAAACGUAAAUUUUCUCAUCCAAUGAAAACAGCCACGACCUACUCUGAGGCCGUGUCCCAGUUGUCGUCACACUGGUUGAAAGUUCUCCUUGCAAAUCCUGAACCACCACCCCCACAAUGAUCCCGAACCAAAACUGGACUUCCGCCAUUUCCCCCCUCUCACUCACCGUGAACAGACCAGCACGGCAGCGCCCAAGUCCUCCCAUAGAAAUAGUUCGGUUCUUGGGUGUUCUAACCAACACCAAAGUCUAUUCACUUUAACAAGGGAUCAACAAGUGAGGAUUUGUGGGUCACUUUUAUUUUUAACGGACCGGUGCCAGAAACACUGCCUCAGCAUUUAUACGUAUGUGCAUUUCAAACGAGGGUGCGUACAAUGCUGGAUUUGUUUCACGGCUCCUGUUGGAAAAAAAGGACCUAUUCCUAAAGUCCGUCAUCCACUCACUGAAGAGGGCAAAUCCCAGUUGCCCACAUGCAAGGAGGCUGUGAAACAGAGAAAUCACUGCAGACUGUUGGUACACAGACAUCUGCUGCCCAGCUCAGGAGUGAAGUACCUUUUGUUUUGAUGAGGUGAUGGUGAGGACAGCCACAGCUUCCAUCUGGUAGAGGACUGCUUCCGCUCAGUCUUCCAAAUAGUGAUGAGAACAAGGAUCACCACAUCUCCCUGUUUACCCUACUUUCAUGCAUUUCGUCUGCAAGGCCCUGCAAAAGCUUCUCCUUCGUCCUCAAACCCCCAGACUUCUUAAUUAACUCAGUAACCUAUACAUUGCACAUUGGAGUGUGAAGGUAACAGUUUGUUCUAGCUUUGGAGUAGUGGUGCAUUUUUUUGGUUUACAAUAAAGUUGGCUUUAACUAUUA
This is a long non-coding RNA of Betta splendens (Siamese fighting fish), 994 nucleotides long. RefSeq lists it as uncharacterized. The record is from RefSeq and is a predicted model, not a curated record. NCBI's taxonomy places the organism in Eukaryota, Metazoa, Chordata, Actinopteri, Anabantiformes, Osphronemidae. The transcript is spliced from 3 exons.